This 2417-nucleotide small RNA is filed under the name Pongo abelii (Sumatran orangutan). RNAcentral describes it as "retained intron". Lineage: Eukaryota; Metazoa; Chordata; Mammalia; Primates; Hominidae. The record is from RNAcentral.
UGUGUGUGUGUGUGUGUGUGUUCCCCAGAUGUCUUUAUGUAGAAAAAAUACAUUUCUUAAUGAGUAUACUUUGAAUUGAUUUUCUCGAGAAGAGAAGGAAAAGUGAGUUGUUACUCUGAUCCUUGUACACUACGAGCCUGCCAGUGUACCUUUCCAGGUAGCAGGCCAGGAGGGCUAAAGGGCUAGCUUAUGUCCAUGGAUAUAGGGUAGAGUUUGACCUAAAUCAUUAAGAUGGGAAUUAAAUCAUUGACUUCACACCUAGUAGCACCAUGCUGAGUGGUCCUGGUGUCUUGAGGACCUGCUCAUAGGCAGAUGCUCCUCACUGAACCUUCUUGAAGAGGCUGGAACAGAUGCUAAGUAGUAGCUGUUUCUGAUAGGCACCUUCUUGUCUGCUCUGGCCUUGAUUUUGUUUGUAUGUGCUUUUGCUGGCAUAAGAGAAUCCAGGCUGUGACUGCCUGUUGUGUUUCAGGUGGAGGAGUCUGGCGAGCAUGUGAUCCUGGGCACCGGGGAGCUCUACCUGGACUGUGUGAUGCAUGAUUUGCGGAAGAUGUACUCAGAGAUAGACAUCAAGGUAGCUGACCCAGUUGUCACGUUUUGUGAGACGGUGGUGGAAACAUCCUCCCUCAAGUGCUUUGCUGAAACGCCUAAUAAGAAGAACAAGAUCACCAUGAUUGCUGAGCCUCUUGAGAAGGGCCUGGCAGAGGACAUAGAGAAUGAAGUGGUCCAGAUUACGUGGAACAGGAAGAAGCUGGGAGAGUUCUUCCAGACCAAGUACGAUUGGGAUCUGCUGGCUGCCCGUUCCAUCUGGGCUUUUGGCCCUGAUGCGACCGGCCCCAACAUUCUGGUGGAUGAUACUCUGCCCUCCGAGGUGGACAAGGCUCUUCUUGGUUCAGUGAAGGACAGCAUCGUUCAAGGUUUCCAGUGGGGAACCAGGGAGGGCCCCCUCUGUGAUGAAUGUAAGUCCACCAGCACUCCCCCACCCCAGUCCUCGAGGGUCCUUGCAGCCAGGCAUAUGAGUGGGAUGGGCUCACCAUCUUUAGGACUCAGCAGGAGAAGCAGCUUGGGGUACACAGGACCAUCCCAAGUCCUGGGCCAGCUUCUUCCAUUUUCCUUCCUUAUCCUGGUGGUGUAGCCUGGAAAUUUAAGUCAUUUCUAAACUGUCAUUUGCUCCUCAUUUCUGAGAAGGGUUUGGCAUUGGACGUAUUUGAGAAGAGAUAUCAAGAGGAUGAUGAGAUUGGAGUGGUUUAUAGACCCUGAUUGGGCUUCAUGGACCAAAUGUACAAUUCUGGAAUUUAUUCUACAUCCACAAAAAUGUAAAUAUGUACAGAAGAAGGAAAUAAACUUCUAGGAAAGCUCUAAGUCUGAGCAUGGCCUGAAGCAAACACUAAGAACAUGUGCUUAACUUCUGACCUCUGCUAUGGGCCUUGCUUAUUCAGUUAGAACGCCCACCUCCCAUGUGAUUUCUGUACCAUGUCUUUCAUGACUGCAAGAUAGCUGCAGUGUUGCAGGAGACUGCUACUCCGCCGUGGCCCCAUGACAGGCCCAGAACCUCUCCCCAGUCACUCCCUCCACCUCCUUUACAGUGAUUCGGAAUGUCAAGUUUAAGAUCCUGGAUGCAGUGGUUGCCCAGGAGCCCCUGCACCGGGGCGGGGGCCAGAUCAUCCCCACAGCCAGGAGAGUCGUUUACUCUGCCUUCCUCAUGGGGGCACGUGACUCAGGAUGCACCCAUCCCAGGCUCCCCUCUGUACACCAUCAAAGCUUUUAUCCCAGCCAUCGACUCUUUUGGCUUUGAGACUGAUCUCCGGACUCACACCCAGGGACAAGCCUUUUCUCUGUCUGUCUUCCACCACUGGCAGAUUGUGCCUGGUGAUCCUCUGGACAAGAGCAUUGUCAUCCGCCCCUUGGAGCCACAGCCAGCUCCUCACCUGGCCCGGGAAUUCAUGAUCAAAACCCGUCGUAGGAAGGGCCUCAGUGAAGAUGUGAGCAUCAGCAAAUUCUUCGAUGAUCCUAUGUUGCUGGAACUUGCCAAACAGGAUGUUGUGCUCAAUUACCCCAUGUGAGUGCAUGGACUCCUGGGAGCUCCUGCUCCCUACAGUGGGCUGCAACUCCUGUACUUGAAGCUGAGACCUCGUAUGACGUGGCCUUCGUGUUGUCAGAGGGUGUCUGGAAGCUGCUGUUGCCAUCUUGAACAACUCACCAACCUCCAACCCAGAGCCCCAGUGAGAGAGGAGCAUUUGGCCUCCUACUUCCUUCUGUGGCCUCUGCCGGGCUCCAUUCCCAAGGAGAAGAGAGGAGCUUGGGCUCACAGAAAGAGAAGGGGAUGAAACCCCAAGGGGCCCUAUCUUUGGGAUUUACAUGGAAUUUUAUUUUCUACAAGUUUGACCUUAGCCAUGGUUUGCAAGUGAACAGAACAUUCU